AACGAACGCUGGCGGCAGGCCUAACACAUGCAAGUCGAGCGCCCUUUUCGGAGGGAGCGGCGGACGGGUUAGUAACGCGUGGGAACGUGCCCUUUUCUAAGGAAUAGCCACUGGAAACGGUGAGUAAUACCUUAUACGCCCUUUUGGGGAAAGAUUUAUCGGAGAAGGAUCGGCCCGCGUUAGAUUAGAUAGUUGGUGGGGUAACGGCCUACCAAGUCUACGAUCUAUAGCUGGUUUGAGAGGAUGAUCAGCAACACUGGGACUGAGACACGGCCCAGACUCCUACGGGAGGCAGCAGUGGGGAAUCUUAGACAAUGGGCGCAAGCCUGAUCUAGCCAUGCCGCGUGAGUGAUGAAGGCCUUAGGGUCGUAAAGCUCUUUCGCCAGGGAUGAUAAUGACAGUACCUGGUAAAGAAACCCCGGCUAACUCCGUGCCAGCCGCCGCCGUAACAC
This 452-nucleotide ribosomal RNA is filed under the name uncultured bacterium. RNAcentral describes it as "bacterial SSU rRNA". It matches the Rfam family "Bacterial small subunit ribosomal RNA", at positions 29 to 526 of the family's 1533-position model. The record is from RNAcentral.